RNAcentral lists this ribosomal RNA (274 nucleotides) under uncultured bacterium. RNAcentral describes it as "partial 16S ribosomal RNA". It matches the Rfam family "Bacterial small subunit ribosomal RNA", at positions 523 to 796 of the family's 1533-position model. The record is from RNAcentral.
AUACGGAGGGUCCAAGCGUUGUUCGGAAUCAUUGGGCGUAAAGCGGGCGUAGGCGGCUUGGCAAGUCAGAUGUGAAAUCCCAGGGCCCAACCCUGGAACUGCAUCUGAAACUGCAUGUCUGGAGUGUCGGAGAGGGAAGCGGAAUUCCUGGUGUAGAGGUGAAAUUCGUAGAUAUCAGGAGGAACACCGGUGGCGAAGGCGGCUUCCUGGACGACUACUGACGCUGAGACGCGAAAGCGUGGGGAGCAAACAGGAUUAGAAACCCCGGUAGUCC